AGCGAACGCUGGCGGCAGGCUUAACACAUGCAAGUCGAGCGGGCAUAGCAAUAUGUCAGCGGCAGACGGGUGAGUAACGCGUGGGAACGUACCUUUUGGUUCGGAACAACACAGGGAAACUUGUGCUAAUACCGGAUAAGCCCUUACGGGGAAAGAUUUAUCGCCGAAAGAUCGGCCCGCGUCUGAUUAGCUAGUCGGUGAGGUAAUGGCUCACCAAGGCGACGAUCAGUAGCUGGUCUGAGAGGAUGAUCAGCCACAUUGGGACUGAGACACGGCCCAAACUCCUACGGGAGGAAGCAGUGGGGAAUAUUGGACAAUGGGCGCAAGCCUGAUCCAGCCAUGCCGCGUGAGUGAUGAAGGCCCUAGGGUUGUAAAGCUCUUUUGUGCGGGAAGAUAAUGACGGUACCGAAAGAAUAAGCCCCGGCUAACUUCGUGCCAGCCGCCGCCGUAA
RNAcentral lists this ribosomal RNA (451 nucleotides) under uncultured bacterium. RNAcentral describes it as "partial 16S ribosomal RNA". It matches the Rfam family "Bacterial small subunit ribosomal RNA", at positions 29 to 523 of the family's 1533-position model. The record is from RNAcentral.